GACGAACGCUGGCGGCGUGCUUAACACAUGCAAGUCGAACGGAAAGGCCCUGCUUUUGUGGGGUGCUCGAGUGGCGAACGGGUGAGUAACACGUGAGUAACCUGCCCUUGACUUUGGGAUAACUUCAGGAAACUGGGGCUAAUACCGGAUAGGAGCUCCUGCUGCAUGGUGGGGGUUGGAAAGUUUCGGCGGUUGGGAAUGGACUCGCGGCUUAUCAGCUUGUUGGUGGGGUAGUGGCUUACCAAGGCUUUGACGGGUAGCCGGCCUGAGAGGGUGACCGGCCACAUUGGGACUGAGAUACGGCCCAGACUCCUACGGUAGGCAGUAGUGGGGAAUAUUGCACAAUGGGCGGAAGCCUGAUGCAGCAACGCCGCGUGCGGGAUGACGGCCUUCGGGUUGUAAACCGCUUUCGCCUGUGACGAAGCGUGAGUGACGGUAAUGGGUAAAGAAGCACCGGCUAACUACGUG
Molecule: ribosomal RNA, 468 nt
Filed under: uncultured bacterium
Lineage: Bacteria
Description: partial 16S ribosomal RNA
Rfam family: Bacterial small subunit ribosomal RNA
Source: RNAcentral